UAGGGAAUCUUCGGCAAUGGACGAAAGUCUGACCGAGCAACGCCGCGUGAGUGAAGAAGGUUUUCGGAUCGUAAAACUCUGUUGUUAGAGAAGAACAAGGACGUUAGUAACUGAACGUCCCCUGACGGUAUCUAACCAGAAAGCCACGGCUAACUACGUGCCAGCAGCCGCGGUAAUACGUAGGUGGCAAGCGUUGUCCGGAUUUAUUGGGCGUAAAGCGAGCGCAGGCGGUUUCUUAAGUCUGAUGUGAAAGCCCCCGGCUCAACCGGGGAGGGUCAUUGGAGACUGGGAGACUUUAGUGCAGAAGAGGAGAGUGGAAUUCCAUGUGUAGCGGUGAAAUGCGUAGAUAUAUGGAGGAACACCAGUGGCGAAGGCGGCUCUCUGGUCUGUAACUGACGCUGAGGCUCGAAAGCGUGGGGAGCAAACAGG
This 429-nucleotide ribosomal RNA is filed under the name Gemmatimonadota bacterium. RNAcentral describes it as "Gemmatimonadetes bacterium partial 16S ribosomal RNA". It matches the Rfam family "Bacterial small subunit ribosomal RNA", at positions 355 to 776 of the family's 1533-position model. Lineage: Bacteria; Pseudomonadati; Gemmatimonadota. The record is from RNAcentral.